Molecule: ribosomal RNA, 490 nt
Filed under: uncultured bacterium
Lineage: Bacteria
Description: partial 16S ribosomal RNA
Rfam family: Bacterial small subunit ribosomal RNA
Source: RNAcentral
AAUGGACGCUGGCGGCAUGCCUUACACAUGCAAGUCGAACGGCAGCAUGACCUAGCUUGCUAGGUUGAUGGCGAGUGGCGAACGGGUGAGUAAUGCAUCGGAACGUGCCUUUUAGUGGGGGAUAACGUAGCGAAAGUUACGCUAAUACCGCAUAUUCUCUGAGGAGGAAAGCAGGGGACCUUCGGGCCUUGCGCUAGAAGAGCGGCCGAUGUCGGAUUAGCUAGUUGGUGAGGUAAAGGCUCACCAAGGCAACGAUCCGUAGCGGGUCUGAGAGGAUGAUCCGCCACACUGGGACUGAGACACGGCCCAGACUCCUACGGGAGGCAGCAGUGGGGAAUUUUGGACAAUGGGCGCAAGCCUGAUCCAGCCAUGCCGCGUGAGUGAAGAAGGCCUUCGGGUUGUAAAGCUCUUUCGGCUGGGAAGAAAUCGCACCCUCUAAUACAGGGUGUGGAUGACGGUACCAGCAUAAGAAGCACCGGCUAACUACGUG